Molecule: long non-coding RNA, 518 nt
Filed under: Vigna radiata
Lineage: Eukaryota; Viridiplantae; Streptophyta; Magnoliopsida; Fabales; Fabaceae
Description: long non-coding RNA (VRAD_LNC004375)
Source: RNAcentral
AAGUGACGUUUACGAGAAAAACAGAAGUAAUCUCCAGGAUCUUGUUGAUACGUUGGUUGGUUUUUCAGUGGAAAAAUGGAUGGAAGGAACAAAANUUAAUGGUGGAAGAUAGAAAAAAGCUGGAUGGCAGGUAGAGCAGAAGUGCAGAGGAGAGAGAAAUAGAAAACAAAGAGAAAUAAAAAAGUGUCAGGAAGAGCAGAUGAGAGAGAAAAAAGGUGCAGCCACCUAAGCCUCAGUUAACGUCGUUCCUACCUACUUAACAGAAGGGACCAAUUUCAUUCAAAAUUGGUAACCUGGAAACCAAAUAACAUCAAUUUUAAAAGCGGGUACAAAACAAAAAUUCAGCGCCCAACUUGGGGACUAAAAAGGUAAUUAAGCCUAAAAAUUAUAAUAAUGUAGUAGGGAGCCGGACGGUCAAGACGAACGGUAAGGAGACAUGCGAUGAGCCGAACGACCAGGUCAGAGAGAUCCAGGUAAGUCCAAGAAGCUUUCAAGAAGGCGACUUAGUAUGGCGUAAG